This 318-nucleotide ribosomal RNA is filed under the name uncultured Enterococcus sp. RNAcentral's name for it is "bacterial SSU rRNA". It matches the Rfam family "Bacterial small subunit ribosomal RNA", at positions 16 to 312 of the family's 1533-position model. The record is from RNAcentral. Lineage: Bacteria; Bacillati; Bacillota; Bacilli; Lactobacillales; Enterococcaceae.
AUCCUGGCUCAGGACGAACGCUGGCGGCGUGCCUAAUACAUGCAAGUCGAACGCUUCUUUUUCCACCGGAGCUUGCUCCACCGGAAAAAGAGGAGUGGCGAACGGGUGAGUAACACGUGGGUAACCUGCCCAUCAGAAGGGGAUAACACUUGGAAACAGGUGCUAAUACCGUAUAACAAUCAAAACCGCAUGGUUUUGAUUUGAAAGGCGCUUUCGGGUGUCGCUGAUGGAUGGACCCGCGGUGCAUUAGCUAGUUGGUGAGGUAACGGCUCACCAAGGCCACGAUGCAUAGCCGACCUGAGAGGGUGAUCGGCCACA